This 495-nucleotide ribosomal RNA is filed under the name uncultured bacterium. Its description in RNAcentral is "bacterial SSU rRNA". It matches the Rfam family "Bacterial small subunit ribosomal RNA", at positions 28 to 526 of the family's 1533-position model. The record is from RNAcentral.
GACGAACGCUGGCGGCGUGCUUAACACAUGCAAGUCGAGCGGAAAGGCCUUUCGGGGUACUCGAGCGGCGAACGGGUGAGUAACACGUGAGUAAUCUGCCCUGCACUCUGGGAUAGCCACCGGAAACGGUGAUUAAUACCGGAUAUGACAUACCGGCGCAUGUUGGUGUGUGGAAAGUUUUUUCGGUGUGGGAUGUGCUCGCGGCCUAUCAGCUUGUUGGUGGGGUAAUGGCCUACCAAGGCUUCGACGGGUAGCCGGCCUGAGAGGGUGACCGGCCACACUGGGACUGAGACACGGCCCAGACUCCUACGGGAGGCAGCAGUGGGGAAUAUUGGACAAUGGGCGGAAGCCUGAUCCAGCAACGCCGCGUGAGGGAUGACGGCCUUCGGGUUGUAAACCUCUUUCAGCACAGACGAAGCUUGGUCUUUUUGGGUCUUGUGACGGUAUGUGCAGAAGAAGGACCGGCCAACUACGUGCCAGCAGCCGCGGUAACAC